RNAcentral lists this transfer RNA (71 nucleotides) under [Clostridium] innocuum. Its description in RNAcentral is "tRNA-Gln". It matches the Rfam family "tRNA". From Rfam's summary of the family: Transfer RNA (tRNA) molecules are approximately 80 nucleotides in length. Their secondary structure includes four short double-helical elements and three loops (D, anti-codon, and T loops). Further hydrogen bonds mediate the characteristic L-shaped molecular structure. tRNAs have two regions of fundamental functional importance: the anti-codon, which is responsible for specific mRNA codon recognition, and the 3' end, to which the tRNAs corresponding amino acid is attached (by aminoacyl-tRNA synthetases). tRNAs cope with the degeneracy of the genetic code in two manners: having more than one tRNA (with a specific anti-codon) for a particular amino acid; and 'wobble' base-pairing, i.e. permitting non-standard base-pairing at the 3rd anti-codon position. RNAcentral also lists the same sequence under 2 other names. Lineage: Bacteria; Bacillati; Bacillota; Clostridia; Eubacteriales; Clostridiaceae. The record is from RNAcentral.
UUCCGAUUAGCCAAAUGGAAAGGCAAUGGACUUUGAAUCCAUGAGUUCUGGUUCGACCCCAGAAUCGGAAA